RNAcentral lists this long non-coding RNA (453 nucleotides) under Fukomys damarensis (Damara mole-rat). RNAcentral's name for it is "lncRNA (ENSFDAG00000021635.1)". The record is from RNAcentral. Lineage: Eukaryota; Metazoa; Chordata; Mammalia; Rodentia; Bathyergidae.
UUUUUCUUAGUUGAAGGUCACUUCAAAAACAUGAACUUGUGGUUCUCCUGGCCCAAUCCUGCCACUAUGCCCGCAACAGCAUAUCCAGACCAUCCAUCAGGCAAGAAAGCAUCAAGUUGCACGGGAAUUGUACGCAGGUCAGCAUAUUUCCCGCCUGCAUACCAAGUAACAAUGAUGACUACCAUUUACAAGUCACACCACACAUGGGCCUCUUCAUCACUCAGCCCCCAGCAGCGGUGGUGUAUGGAGAAGUAGAGCUGCAUGACCUUCAUGGCACAAGAAAUCAGUCUGACAACAUUUAACGAUGUCACUGGAGAUAUCCAAGGUUAUACACCUCAGCGGGUCAGGCAGGGCUUGGACCUCAAAUUCCUGACAACACAAUGGUCUUCCUACCAUGUCAUUGACUUCAUUUGUCUCAAGAAAAAUUGAUUCUCAUAAAAUAAUGUACCAGAG